CAGUGCCUAAAAGUGCCUUAUAAAACUGUUCAAGGUGCCUUCUAAAACCUACAGUUUAACACGAAAUUGAAAAUGGUGAGAAGUUUCAAAGCAUUGUGCAGUGUCAUAUUGGAGUCUGGAAAGAGCAGUGAAAAGAAAGAAAAAAAGACUAAGCCAGGAAACCUCUUGAAGGCCCAGAGAAGUAGGCACGUAUAUAAGGUUGAAGUUUGAGUUAGAUAGUUGAUCAGAUUCAGGUUCUGAUCUUUGAGCCAGAACACUUCCAAG
This 264-nucleotide long non-coding RNA is filed under the name Homo sapiens (human). Its description in RNAcentral is "HSALNT0028590". The record is from RNAcentral. Lineage: Eukaryota; Metazoa; Chordata; Mammalia; Primates; Hominidae.